This 465-nucleotide ribosomal RNA is filed under the name uncultured bacterium. RNAcentral's name for it is "partial 16S ribosomal RNA". It matches the Rfam family "Bacterial small subunit ribosomal RNA", at positions 28 to 507 of the family's 1533-position model. The record is from RNAcentral.
GACGAACGCUGGCGGCGUGCUUAACACAUGCAAGUCGAACGGUAAGGCCCCUUCGGGGGUACACGAGUGGCGAACGGGUGAGUAACACGUGAGCAACCUGCCCUUGACUCUGGAAUAACAGUUGGAAACAGCUGCUAAUACUGGCUAUUCAUCGUCUCCUUCCUGGGGGGUGGUGGAAAGCUCCGGCGGUCAGGGAUGGGCUCGCGGCCUAUCAGCUUGUUGGUGAGGUAAUGGCUCACCAAGGCUUCGACGGGUAGCCGGCCUGAGAGGGCGACCGGCCACACUGGGACUGAGAUACGGCCCAGACUCCUACGGGAGGCAGCAGUGGGGAAUAUUGCACAAUGGGCGCAAGCCUGAUGCAGCAACGCCGCGUGCGGGAUGACGGCCUUCGGGUUGUAAACCGCUUUCAGUAGGGACGAAGGGUGACUGACGGUACCUACAGAAGAAGGACCGGCUAACUACGUG